AGUAACGCGUAAUCAACCUGCCCUUCAGAGGGGGACAACAGUUGGAAACGACUGCUAAUACCGCAUAAGCCCACGGCUCGGCAUCGAGCAGAGGGAAAAGGAGCAAUCCGCUUUGAGAUGGCCUCGCGUCCGAUUAGCUAGUUGGUGAGGUAAUGGCCCACCAAGGCGACGAUCGGUAGCCGGACUGAGAGGUUGAACGGCCACAUUGGGACUGAGACACGGCCCAG
This 227-nucleotide ribosomal RNA is filed under the name uncultured bacterium. Its description in RNAcentral is "partial 16S ribosomal RNA". It matches the Rfam family "Bacterial small subunit ribosomal RNA", at positions 109 to 334 of the family's 1533-position model. The record is from RNAcentral.